GUGGGGAAUCUUAGACAAUGGGCGCAAGCCUGAUCUAGCCAUGCCGCGUGAGCGAUGAAGGCCUUAGGGUUGUAAAGCUCUUUCGUGGGGGAAGAUAAUGACUGUACCCCAAGAAGAAGCCCCGGCUAACUCCGUGCCAGCAGCCGCGGUAAUACGGAGGGGGCUAGCGUUGUUCGGAAUUACUGGGCGUAAAGCGCACGUAGGCGGACUGGAAAGUCAGGGGUGAAAUCCCGGGGCUCAACCCCGGAACUGCCUUUGAAACUCCCAGUCUUGAGGUCGAGAGAGGUGGGUGGAAUUCCGAGUGUAGAGGUGAAAUUCGUAGAUAUUCGGAGGAACACCAGUGGCGAAGGCGGCCCACUGGCUCGAUACUGACGCUGAGGUGCGAAAGCGUGGGGAGCAAACAGGAUUAGAAACCCUGGUAGUCC
RNAcentral lists this ribosomal RNA (425 nucleotides) under uncultured bacterium. RNAcentral's name for it is "bacterial SSU rRNA". It matches the Rfam family "Bacterial small subunit ribosomal RNA", at positions 354 to 796 of the family's 1533-position model. The record is from RNAcentral.